AUUGAACGCUGGCGGCAUGCUUUACACAUGCAAGUCGAACGGCAGCGCGGGCUUCGGCCUGGCGGCGAAUGGCGAACGGGUGAGUAAUGCAUCGGAACGUGCCCAGUAGUGGGGGAUAGCCCGGCGAAAGCCGGAUUAAUACCGCAUACGACCUGAGGGUGAAAGCGGGGGACCGAAAGGCCUCGCGCUAUUGGAGCGGCCGAUGUCGGAUUAGCUAGUUGGUGGGGUAAAGGCUUACCAAGGCGACGAUCCGUAGCUGGUCUGAGAGGACGACCAGCCACACUGGGACUGAGACACGGCCCAGACGCCUACGGGAGGCAGCAGUGGGGAAUUUUGGACAAUGGGGGCAACCCUGAUCCAGCCAUGCCGCGUGCGGGAAGAAGGCCUUCGGGUUGUAAACCGCUUUUGUUCGGGAAGAAAUCCUCUGGGCUAAUACCCCGGGGGGAUGACGGUACCGGAAGAAUAAGCACCGGCUAACUACGUG
Molecule: ribosomal RNA, 484 nt
Filed under: uncultured bacterium
Lineage: Bacteria
Description: partial 16S ribosomal RNA
Rfam family: Bacterial small subunit ribosomal RNA
Source: RNAcentral